Molecule: ribosomal RNA, 254 nt
Filed under: uncultured bacterium
Lineage: Bacteria
Description: partial 16S ribosomal RNA
Rfam family: Bacterial small subunit ribosomal RNA
Source: RNAcentral
UACGAAGGGGGCUAGCGUUGCUCGGAAUUACUGGGCGUAAAGCGCACGUAGGCGGAUCUUUAAGUCAGGGGUGAAAUCCUGGAGCUCAACUCCAGAACUGCCUUUGAUACUGAGGAUCUUGAGUUCGGGAGAGGUGAGUGGAACUGCGAGUGUAGAGGUGAAAUUCGUAGAUAUUCGCAAGAACACCAGUGGCGAAGGCGGCUCACUGGCCCGAUACUGACGCUGAGGCACGAAAGCGUGGGGAGCAAACAGGG